GUUUUUUAAAUCUAAUCAGUUAUACCUGGCAGCAGAUGCAUUUCACGUAGUGCACACAUAGAGCACGACUUUUCAUGUCUCUGGCUGUGCACAGAAGGUCUGCUUGUUAUCUGAACAGGUGCGUUCCCUUUGUGAAAGGCCAGAGAUGUGCCCUUUCCAGGUGGGACACUUCACACUACGUGCUCCCUUCACCAGGGCCAUCCAGAAUUCUUCCUGUUCUCUCCACCCCAAAGGGGUCACCAAAGUUCGGUGGAUGCCAGUUUAAACUACCUGUGGCUUCCAAGCUUGCCAUUUGAUGACAGCAGCACGUCCUGUCCUUAACUAGGGUAGCCACUACUUCUUGGCUGAGCUUUGGAUGUAGUUGCCCCCAAACCAUCUUCCAGGCUGGGCGUGGUGUUGCACGCCUGUAAUCCCAGGGGCUCUGGAGGAGGAUCCAAAGUCCAAAGCCAGCCUCAGCAGUUUAGCAAAGUAAUUAAUUUAGCGAGACCCCGUUUCAAAAUUAAAAAGAAAAAAAAUGUUUUAAAGGAAUAGGAAUGUGGUUCCGUGGUUAAGCGCUCCUGGGUUCAUCCCUGGUACAUCAUCAUCACCUUCAUCAUCAUCUCUUCUUCUUCCUCCUUCUCCUCCUCCUUUAAACCAGAUAAUUUCAAAGUAAAGAGGUGAUGGUCUUGGUAGCACAGGUCUGUGGUCCCAGCUACCAAAGAACUUGAGGCUGGAGGAUCACAAGUGUGAGCCAGCCUGGGCAACUAAGUGAGCACUCUUUCAAAGCAUUAAAGCCAGUCUCUGUGGCAUAGGCUUGUAAUCUCAACCACUCCAGAGGCUGAGGCAGGAAAAUCAAAGGUUCCAGACCAGCCUCAGCAACUUAGUGACAAUCCCCAGUACCAAAACUAAAUCAAAUAAAAAGGACAAUGAAUCUCUGGCAUUAUGUAUAAUUAUAAUGCACCAAAAACAAACACAGGAAAAAACUGAAAACCAAUAAAAUAAAUAAAAGGGGCUGUGGAUGUAGCUCAGAGGUAGAGAGCCCAUUUUGUCCAGCUCUAAAUUAUGGGGAGGAAUUAGGCACAUGAAAAGGAGAGGCUGCUGUGCAGAGGACAGCGAAAAGUGUCACAACCCUGUCACCUUCAGAUGACUCCUUCAGGGGCUGAAACCCCAUUUUCUCAUAGUAAAUGAUGCUUCAUAAGAUAAGUAAUGAGUUUUUUUGAGGGAGGGGGGUGCUGAAUUAGGGAAUGGAACCCAGCACCUAGCACAAGCUGGGCAAGCAGUGUGCCACUGAGCUAUGGCAAAUAUUAAGGUUCUUCUAAAAGCAGAGCGUAGUGCUAGGCCCUGGGAAAUACAAAUCAUAGUACUAGUACUCACAAGGAAUGUUCUGGAACCCUCAAGUUCUUUCUAAUAUUCUAGCAUGAGCAGGAAUUACCAAUGCCUGGUGUUAUAGGGGGAGUGGGAGGUGUGAUUACAACUUGCCAUGGCUGGUGGACAACAAUAGCGCAGAGGAGGCCCAAGAAUCUUCGCUGGGCAGAGAUGGUGGGGGGGGCCAUACUUAGUCCUGUGACAGUAGGAAGCCA
Molecule: long non-coding RNA, 1559 nt
Filed under: Marmota monax (woodchuck)
Lineage: Eukaryota; Metazoa; Chordata; Mammalia; Rodentia; Sciuridae
Source: RNAcentral